Caerostris darwini is the source of this 84-nucleotide non-coding RNA. Lineage: Eukaryota; Metazoa; Arthropoda; Arachnida; Araneae; Araneidae. The record is from the annotation of a GenBank genome assembly.
AUCUCGUUAGAUCACCGAAGUUGAGCAUCAUUGGGCGCGGUCAGUACUUGGAUGGGUGACCACCUGGGAACACUGCGUGCCGUU